CGCUGGCGGCGUGCCUAACACAUGCAAGUCGAACGAUGAUGAUGGAGCUUGCUCUAUCUGAUUAGUGGCGCACGGGUGAGUAAUGCAUAGAUAAUGUGCCCCUUAGUUCGGGAUAGCCACUGGAAACGGUGAUUAAUACCGGAUACUCCUUCUUGUCUCAAGGCAAGUCGGGAAAGUUUUUCGCUAAGGGAUCAGUCUAUGUUCCAUCAGGUAGUUGGUGAGGUAAUGGCUCACCAAGCCUAUGACGGAUAUCUGGUUUGAGAGGAUGAUCAGACACACUGGAACUGAGACACGGUCCAGACUCCUACGGGAGGCAGCAGUGAGGAAUAUUGCACAAUGGAGGAAACUCUGAUGCAGCAACGCCGCGUGGAGGAUGACGCAUUUCGGUGUGUAAACUCCCUUUAUUAGGGAAGAUAAUGACGGUACCUAAUGAAUAAGCACCGGCUAACUCCGUGCCAGCAGCCGCGGUAAUACGGAGGGUGCAAGCGUUACUCGGAAUCACUGGGCGUAAAGGGUGCGUAGGCUGGCUUUUAAGUCAGGUGUGAAGUCCAAUGGCUCAACCAUUGAACUGCACUUGAAACUGAAAGCCUAGAGUUCAGAAGGGGCAGAUGGAAUUAGUGGUGUAGGGGUAAAAUCCGUAGAUAUCACUAGGAAUAUCAAAAGCGAAGGCGAUCUGCUGGGAUGAUACUGACGCUGAGGCACGAAAGCGUGGGGAGCAAACAGGAUUAGAUACCCUGGUAGUCCACGCCCUAAACGAUGAAUGCUAGUCGUCGGGAAGCUCGUCUUUUCGGUGACGCACUUAACAGAUUAAGCAUUCCGCCUGGGGAGUACGGUCGCAAGAUUAAAACUCAAAGGAAUAGACGGGGACCCGCACAAGUGGUGGAGCAUGUGGUUUAAUUCGAAUUAUACACGAAGAACCUUACCUGGCCUUGACAUCCCAAGAACUUUCCAGAGAUGGAUUGGUGCUAGCUUGCUAGAACUUGGUGACAGGUGCUGCACGGCUGUCGUCAGCUCGUGUCGUGAGAUGUUGGGUUAAGUCCCGCAACGAGCGCAACCCUCGUCUUUAGUUGCUAACAGUUCGGCUGAGCACUCUAAAGAGACUGCCUCCGUAAGGAGGAGGAAGGUGAGGACGACGUCAAGUCAUCAUGGCCCUUACGGCCAGGGCUACACACGUGCUACAAUGGGGCGUGCAGAGAGCUGCAAUACCGCGAGGUGGAGCCAAUCUCUUAAAGCGUCUCUCAGUUCGGAUUGUUCUCUGCAACUCGAGAACAUGAAGCUGGAAUCACUAGUAAUCGCAGAUCAGCUAUGCUGCGGUGAAUACGUUCCCGGGUCUUGUACUCACCGCCCGUCACACCAUGGGAGUUGAUUUCACCCGAAAUCGGGAUGCCAAACUGGCUACCGCUUACGGUGGAAUUAGCGACUGGGGUGAAGUCGAAACAAGGUA
RNAcentral lists this ribosomal RNA (1444 nucleotides) under metagenome. RNAcentral's name for it is "bacterial SSU rRNA". It matches the Rfam family "Bacterial small subunit ribosomal RNA". The record is from RNAcentral.